Molecule: ribosomal RNA, 326 nt
Filed under: Brachyspira pilosicoli
Lineage: Bacteria; Pseudomonadati; Spirochaetota; Spirochaetia; Brachyspirales; Brachyspiraceae
Description: bacterial SSU rRNA
Rfam family: Bacterial small subunit ribosomal RNA
Source: RNAcentral
UGAGAGUUUGAUCCUGGCUCAGAGCGAACGUUGGCGAUGCGUCUUAAGCAUGCAAGUCGAGCGGGCUUAUUCGGGCAACUGGAUAAGUUAGCGGCGAACUGGUGAGUAACACGUAGGUAAUCUGCCGUGAAGUGGGGGAUAACCCAUGGAAACAUGGGCUAAUACCGCAUAUACUCUUGCUACAUAAGUAGAGUAGAGGAAAGUUUUUUCGCUUCACGAUGAGCCUGCGGCCUAUUAGCCUGUUGGUAGGGUAAUGGCCUACCAAAGCUACGAUAGGUAGCCGACCUGAGAGGGUGACCGGCCACAUUGGGACUGAGAUACGGCCC